CCCCUUCCGCUCAUCCCUGAACGGAUCCGAGACGUGCGGGCAGCGGAGGCGAAGGGCGACGGCGUCGGCGACCUGCAGGCGAAGGGCGACGGCGGCGGCGCUUGAUUUGAGGCUGCGUCAUGGAUCGGCCCCUGCUGAGCGACAAGAUUGCUGGACUGCCGCCAUCUCACCUCGCCCCACCAGCUUCCACCGCCAUGGAUCCGCCGGAGAUGGAGGGCAACGAGUGAGAGGGAGCAGGAGAAGAUGUGAAUCGAGGGAGUGAAAGAAGAAGUUCACACGGGAAGGGGAAGAGGGAGUCUUGCGGCGUAUCCUCGUCUCAUCCUGGCUGCAGAUCUUUUGACGCCAUGGAGCCAGCCGCUCUUGCUCGAUGCCACGAUACACAACACCAAGAUUCCUUCCUUUUACAGUUCCUUCUCGACUUGCUGUUCAUCACGUCGAUGGCUUCCAUGGAGCAGAGGAAAGUAUGCCCUCUUCAUCUAGGCAGAGGAGCGGGACGGCCAGGAGCUGUCGUCCUGCUACCCUAUGCCAAUGGAUGCGCCUCCCAGAUGGCUAGCAACGCCAGAUCCAGCUGGAAAGGACUCUACGGGGGGUGAGAGGUGGAUAACAAUAGCGAGAAGGAGCAUGCCAUCGAGGAGUGCAAGCAGCGGCACUCCUCCGCAAUGGGGUAUGGCUGCAGGGGAGGGGACACGGCCAACGACAGGAAGAAGGAGCAAGUCGUCGAGGAGUACAAGCAGCAGGUUUCCUGUGACUGGAAGUCUGAAACUGAAGAUAGGGCAUAUUGUUUUGGUUCUGUGGCCGGAGAUAUUGUGGCUUGAUUUCCCUAGAGCAAUCGGACCCUUCCAAGAUAGCAGAAGAUAUUUGGGAUUGACGUUCUAAUGAGAAAGUAGCAUACGGAUGGAUGGACAAUUGGACAUGAGCUAUCCAGUGGUCGAGUUGGGCUAUAUUUCUUUCAUUGAGGCGAGGGUGAUUCCAGUAGGUGAGGUGCAUUUUAGACAUCUGGAUGCCUUGCUAUGUUCAGGCGUACUCGCCUUUUUUCUUGAAGUUGGGCGUCCGUUGUCUAUGCGGCAAGGUGAGCUUAUCCCAUUUACUUUGUUCAAUCCAGAGUCAAGAUUCAUAUCCCCUUCACUGUCAUUUCAUUUGUGAGCAUUUAUUCCAUUGCUCUAUGUUGUCGGCAUCCUGACAGUUUAGAUGUUUCUGCGGAUCACAAUUGCUUCUGAACACACCGACCCAUCUCAUUGAGGAAAUUCCCCUGCUCUGCUUAAUUAAAAUUAAUGUGAAAUAUGUUUCUACCAAAACUAAUUACAAUUUAUUCUUUUUAGUUUCUACUGAUUUUCAGUAUGAAAUAUUGGGGCCCGAGUACUUCAGUUCAUUUCACAGUGGAUAUGGCACACACAUGUAUCAUUGCUGUUAUCGUAAUUGAUACCAACACCUUGACUGAAUCGCAUAGAAUAGACUGCCCUGAUAAUUCUUGCAGUCCUAAAAUGGUUUCUCAAAACAUGGGAAAAUUUACAUUCUAAAAACUGUAGGCACACUGGGUGAAGCAUAUAUAUAAUUCUAUUAUAACAGAGGUCACACACACACACAAUAUAUAAUUCUCUAUAUGCAAAUUGUUAUAAUAUGAUUUUAUUAGAAUAGAGGUCAGGUACUACUGCCACGACGUAAGAAGGAAGGUGUGACACCCAGUUUUAUAUAUAUUGUGAUUUCAGUUUUCAUCAAUGUCGCUAUUAUUAUUAUUAUUAUUAUCUCUUUGUAGCUUCAUAUAAAAUCAGUACUGACAUGGUCAUUUUACAGAGUGUAAAAAUGGUAGGUGGUAGAAUCAUAACCUGGGACUGAGUGCCUUAAGAAGUUCCUUUCAUUAUCGUUAAAUAAUAUAAUGUUUAGGGCCAGUUUAGAUGCGUCGUCGGAAAAUAUGAGUAAAAUCAGUGAAUAUUGUGCAUUGCCUUGGUGUUUGGUGUGUCUAUUGCAUAAUCCUUUUCUUUUUUUGCUUCUCUUUCCAAAGCAAGGACCAGGCUGGGAACAUAUGUUUAUAAUGAAGUUCUUUCAUUGCAGCUACAUAGUAUCUUAGCUAGGUAUCUCUGUGCAAGUGUAGUUUGCCUGCAGGUUGGACAUGUGUUUGAAUAUAAUCCUUUUCUUGCUUCUCUUUUCAAAGCAAGGACCAGUCUGAGAACAUAUGUUUAUAAUGAAGUUCUUUCAUUGUAGUCUGCAUAGUAUCUUAGCUAGGUCUCUCCAGCAUGCUACCACAAAAGCGGAGCCAUGAUGUUAUGCAUAUAUCUGCAUCGUCUAUCAGUCCUAGAAGUUCUGAUCUUCGUCUACCGUUAAACCGAGUUCAUCUGUCUGGGUAUGGCUGCACAACUUUUUAUGUAAUUGGACAUUAAAAAUUAGAGAAUUUGGUUGUACUGCAUCUGCCAAAGCACUAUUGAAACAAUGAAUGUCAGCUAUGUUAUGAGCCGAACCAUAUUAAGUAUGUGCAUCCUGGGUGGAAUGCUUUCUGUU
This is a long non-coding RNA of Triticum dicoccoides, 2493 nucleotides long. RefSeq lists it as uncharacterized. The record is from RefSeq and is a predicted model, not a curated record. NCBI's taxonomy places the organism in Eukaryota, Viridiplantae, Streptophyta, Magnoliopsida, Poales, Poaceae. The transcript has 6 exons.